GCCAGGCAUGGUGGCUCAUGCCUGUAAUCCCAGCACUUUGGGAGGCUGAAGCGGGUGGGUCACCUGAGGUCAGGAGUUCGAGACCAGCCUGACCAACAUGGUGAAACCCCGUCUCUA
This is a non-coding RNA of Pan troglodytes (chimpanzee), 117 nucleotides long. It matches the Rfam family "Metazoan signal recognition particle RNA". Rfam says of the family: The signal recognition particle (SRP) is a universally conserved ribonucleoprotein. NCBI's taxonomy places the organism in Eukaryota, Metazoa, Chordata, Mammalia, Primates, Hominidae. The record is from Rfam.